AGAACGAACGCUGGCGGCAUGCCUAAUACAUGCAAGUCGAACGAACUCUUCGGAGUUAGUGGCGCACGGGUGCGUAACGCGUGGGAAUCUGCCCCUUGGUUCGGAAUAACAGUUGGAAACGACUGCUAAUACCGGAUGAUGACGAAAGUCCAAAGAUUUAUCGCCAAGGGAUGAGCCCGCGUAGGAUUAGCUAGUUGGUGAGGUAAAGGCUCACCAAGGCAACGAUCCUUAGCUGGUCUGAGAGGAUGAUCAGCCACACUGGGACUGAGACACGGCCCAGACUCCUACGGGAGCAGCAGUAGGGAAUAUUGGACAAUGGG
RNAcentral lists this ribosomal RNA (320 nucleotides) under uncultured soil bacterium. RNAcentral describes it as "bacterial SSU rRNA". It matches the Rfam family "Bacterial small subunit ribosomal RNA", at positions 26 to 375 of the family's 1533-position model. The record is from RNAcentral.